This 72-nucleotide transfer RNA is filed under the name Ictidomys tridecemlineatus (thirteen-lined ground squirrel). Its description in RNAcentral is "Spermophilus tridecemlineatus (thirteen-lined ground squirrel) tRNA". It matches the Rfam family "tRNA". From Rfam's summary of the family: Transfer RNA (tRNA) molecules are approximately 80 nucleotides in length. Their secondary structure includes four short double-helical elements and three loops (D, anti-codon, and T loops). Further hydrogen bonds mediate the characteristic L-shaped molecular structure. tRNAs have two regions of fundamental functional importance: the anti-codon, which is responsible for specific mRNA codon recognition, and the 3' end, to which the tRNAs corresponding amino acid is attached (by aminoacyl-tRNA synthetases). tRNAs cope with the degeneracy of the genetic code in two manners: having more than one tRNA (with a specific anti-codon) for a particular amino acid; and 'wobble' base-pairing, i.e. permitting non-standard base-pairing at the 3rd anti-codon position. Lineage: Eukaryota; Metazoa; Chordata; Mammalia; Rodentia; Sciuridae. The record is from Rfam by way of RNAcentral.
UGGGUUGUGGCUCAGUGGUAAAGCAUGUGCCUUGCAUGUAUGAGGCACUGGGUUCAAUCCUUGGCACCACAU